Molecule: ribosomal RNA, 457 nt
Filed under: uncultured bacterium
Lineage: Bacteria
Description: bacterial SSU rRNA
Rfam family: Bacterial small subunit ribosomal RNA
Source: RNAcentral
ACGAACGCUGGCGGCAUGCCUAACACAUGCAAGUUGAACGAGAAAGGCUUUCGGGCCGAGUAGAGUGGCGCACGGGUGAGUAACGCGUAGAUAAUCUGCCCCUGAGUCUGGAAUAACCCUUCGAAAGGAGGGCUAAUGCCGGAUAACAAGCGACCUCGUUGGAGGUCGCUUUGAAAGUUCAGGCGCUCGGGGAUGAGUCUGCGUCCCAUUAGCUUGUUGGUGGGGUAAUGGCCUACCAAGGCGAUGAUGGGUAGCGGGUUUGAGAGGAUGAUCCGCCACACUGGCACUGAGAUACGGGCCAGACUCCUACGGGAGGCAGCAGUGGGGAAUAUUGCGCAAUGGGCGAAAGCCUGACGCAGCAAUGCCGCGUGAGCGAAGAAGGUUUUCGGAUCGUAAAGCUCUUUAUCUCUGCGAAGAUGAUGACGGUAGCAGAGGAAUAAGCACCGGCUAACUACGU